Molecule: non-coding RNA, 29 nt
Filed under: Prorocentrum micans
Lineage: Eukaryota; Dinophyceae; Prorocentrales; Prorocentraceae
Source: RNAcentral
UUUUUUUUUUUUUUUUUUUUUUUUCCUUC